GAUGAACGCUGGCGGCGUGCCUAAUACAUGCAAGUCGAGCGAACAGACGAGGAGCUUGCUCCUCUGACGUUAGCGGCGGACGGGUGAGUAACACGUGGAUAACCUACCUAUAAGACUGGGAUAACUUCGGGAAACCGGAGCUAAUACCGGAUAAUAUAUUGAACCGCAUGGUUCAAUAGUGAAAGACGGUUUUGCUGUCACUUAUAGAUGGAUCCGCGCCGCAUUAGCUAGUUGGUAAGGUAACGGCUUACCAAGGCAACGAUGCGUAGCCGACCUGAGAGGGUGGUCGGCCACACUGGAACUGAGGCCCGGUCCAGACUCCUACGGGAGGCAGCAGUAGGGAAUCUUCCGCAAUGGGCGAAAGCCUGACGGAGCAACGCCGCGUGAGUGAUGAAGGUCUUCGGAUCGGAAAACUCUGUUAUUAGGGAAGAACAAAUGUGUAAGUAACUAUGCACGUCUUGACGGUACCUAAUCAGAAAGCCACGGCUAACUACGUG
RNAcentral lists this ribosomal RNA (497 nucleotides) under uncultured bacterium. RNAcentral's name for it is "partial 16S ribosomal RNA". It matches the Rfam family "Bacterial small subunit ribosomal RNA", at positions 28 to 507 of the family's 1533-position model. The record is from RNAcentral.